This 959-nucleotide long non-coding RNA is filed under the name Felis catus (domestic cat). Its description in RNAcentral is "lncRNA (ENSFCAG00000053800.1)". The record is from RNAcentral. Lineage: Eukaryota; Metazoa; Chordata; Mammalia; Carnivora; Felidae.
UGGUUUUGUAAAAAAACUAUUUGAUGUCUAAACAGAUCCCUUUGGGACAAUCUUUAAACUUCUUAGUUCUUCUCUGUUGCUCCCUCUCCCUCCCUGAUAAAAACAGAGGAUCAUAGUAAGAAAAAAAAAUACUGUAUUCUGCCUUGAAUCAAAUGUCUGGAUUCUGGAGAGCAUUUGCAAGCAAAAAAAAAAAAAAAAAAGGUUUAGAAAUUAUGUGUUAGGACCUCACUUUUACCCUGUGCAUGUGUGCACAUGUGUGGACGUACAUAUACAUAAAAGAAAAUCUUACUGAAGUGUUCCUCAAAUUUUAGAUCUGCAGAAUCAUGUCAUUGCACCGAUGACAAUUCCCCCCCACUGCUUCUGGCCCACAGUAAUGGCAAAUCCCUAAAACUAAUUACACCUUCAGCUUGUAGGUGUAACCCUUUCUGUUUAUGGCUAAUGACAACAAGUACACCUCACACUACGUCCUCUUCCAGAGGGGCAAAACACAGGCCGUUUCGAUGGCCUUUGGCACCGCCGGGGACCCGGGGACAGCGGAAGCGCCCUCCGCUUUCCCCUUUAUCAAAAUAUAUUCAUUCCAGUUUUCAAACCGCUGUUUUGGCGUCCUAAAUCUCUCCCCGCACUAAUUUCUGCAGGUCAGACUUUGACCCUGAUUGCAACAAAAUCCGGAGGCAGAUAUUCACACCGGAGCGCCCCGCCUCCCCGCGUGUCAGAAGCCAUAUCGCUGCAAAUGCCUCACACACCUCGGAGCGCAGCUUGUGGAACUGAUGAGAAAGGCCAACAUUGUUACCACUUGCCUGGUCAAAGGUUACGCUUCCUGCCCUCCAUCAACCCUGCUGGGACAUCUGAGUGUUUUUAGAUACUAGUCAGGUCACCUUCCAAGGGGAAUCACUCACGCUAACCAUCUGAUUAAAGGGGCCUCUGUAAGGAAUCCGGCUACCAGGUAUGCAAUUAGCCAG